This 369-nucleotide transfer-messenger RNA is filed under the name Sediminivirga luteola. It matches the Rfam family "transfer-messenger RNA". From Rfam's summary of the family: Bacterial tmRNA, also known as 10Sa RNA or SsrA, is named for its dual tRNA and mRNA-like properties. Its role is to liberate the mRNA from a stalled ribosome. The record is from RNAcentral. Lineage: Bacteria; Bacillati; Actinomycetota; Actinomycetes; Micrococcales; Brevibacteriaceae.
GGGGAUGAUCGGUUUCGACGUGGGUCGCUGCGUCGGGAGAAGCGGGUCGAGAAGGCAGAGUCAUCUCGUUAACGUUCUCUGCAAAAAAAUAAGUGCUGAAUCUAAGCGCACUGACUUCGCUCUCGCAGCCUAAGCUCGAGUAGCAGUCCGUCAGCCCGGGGUCGCUUCCGCCCCGGUUCCUGACGUCAGCUAGGAAGCCACUGCUCGGCGUUCCUGUCAGGGGAACGUCCGGGAACAUUUUUCCUGACUCCGUCCGUCGAUGACGUGUCUGAACGAGCAUCGGGACCUAAGAAACGUCACCUCAGACUGCACCCGGAGAAGACCCGAUAAUGCGCUCGCGGACGCGGGUUCGAUUCCCGCCAUCUCCAC